GACGAACGCUGGCGGCGUGCUUAACACAUGCAAGUCGAACGAUGAAGAAAAGAAUCGAAGCUUCGGCAGAAAUUCAUUUCGGAUUAGUGGCAGACGGGUGAGUAACGCGUGAGCAACCUACCUCUUACGAAGGGAUAGCCUCGGGAAACCGGGAUUAAUACCAUAUAACAUUGUGACGAAGCAUUUCGAUGCAAUCAAAGCUACGGCGGUAAGAGAUGGGCUCGCGUCCCAUUAACCGGAUGGUGAGGUAACGGCUCACCAUAGUGACGAUGGGUAACCGGCCUGAGAGGGUGAACGGUCACACUGGAACUGAGACACGGUCCAGACUCCUACGGGAGGCAGCAGUGGGGAAUAUUGCACAAUGGAGGGAACUCUGAUGCAGCGACGCCGCGUGAGUGAUGAAGGAAUUCGUUUCGUAAAACUCUGUUCUAUGGGAAGAAAAGGACUGUACCAUAGGAGAAAGCUCCGGCUAAAUACGUG
This 480-nucleotide ribosomal RNA is filed under the name uncultured bacterium. RNAcentral's name for it is "partial 16S ribosomal RNA". It matches the Rfam family "Bacterial small subunit ribosomal RNA", at positions 28 to 507 of the family's 1533-position model. The record is from RNAcentral.